This 497-nucleotide ribosomal RNA is filed under the name uncultured bacterium. Its description in RNAcentral is "partial 16S ribosomal RNA". It matches the Rfam family "Bacterial small subunit ribosomal RNA", at positions 28 to 507 of the family's 1533-position model. The record is from RNAcentral.
GAUGAACGCUGGCGGCGUGCCUAAUACAUGCAAGUCGAGCGAACAGACGAUGAGCUUGCUCCUCUGACGUUAGCGGCGGACGGGUGAGUAACACGUGGAUAACCUACCUAUAAGACUGGGAUAACUUCGGGAAACCGGAGCUAAUACCGGAUAAUAUAUUGAACCGCAUGGUUCAAUAGUUAAAGACGGUUUUGCUGUCACUUAUAGAUGGAUCCGCGCCGCAUUAGCUAGUUGGUAAGGUAACGGCUUACCAAGGCAACGAUGCGUAGCCGACCUGAGAGGGUGAUCGGCCACACUGGAACUGAGACACGGUCCAGACUCCUACGGGAGGCAGCAGUAGGGAAUAUUCCGCAAUGGGCGAAAGCCUGACGGAGCAACGCCGCGUGAGUGAUGAAGGUCUUCGGAUCGUAAAACUCUGUUAUUAGGGAAGAACAAAUGUGUAAGUAACUAUGCACGUCUUGACGGUACCUAAUCAGAAAGCCACGGCUAACUACGUG